UACGUAGGGUGCGAGCGUUAAUCGGAAUUACUGGGCGUAAAGCGUGCGCAGGCGGUUUUGUAAGCCAGAUGUGAAAGCCCCGGGCUUAACCUGGGAAUGGCAUUUGGGACUGCAAGGCUGGAGUGUGGCAGAGGAGACUGGAAUUCCUGGUGUAGCAGUGAAAUGCGUAGAUAUCUGGAGGAAUACCGGUGGCGAAGGCGGCAUCCUGGACCGACAUUGACGCUGAACGGCGAAAGCUAGGGGAGCAAACGGG
This 253-nucleotide ribosomal RNA is filed under the name uncultured bacterium. Its description in RNAcentral is "partial 16S ribosomal RNA". It matches the Rfam family "Bacterial small subunit ribosomal RNA", at positions 524 to 776 of the family's 1533-position model. The record is from RNAcentral.